RNAcentral lists this ribosomal RNA (478 nucleotides) under uncultured bacterium. RNAcentral describes it as "partial 16S ribosomal RNA". It matches the Rfam family "Bacterial small subunit ribosomal RNA", at positions 28 to 523 of the family's 1533-position model. The record is from RNAcentral.
GACGAACGCUGGCGGCGUGCUUAACACAUGCAAGUCGAACGGUAAGGCCCUUCGGGGUACACGAGUGGCGAACGGGUGAGUAACACGUGGGUGAUCUGCCCUGCACUUCGGGAUAAGCCUGGGAAACUGGGUCUAAUACCGGAUAGGACCACUGCCUGCAUGGGUGGUGGUGGAAAGCUUUUGCGGUGUGGGAUGGGCCCGCGGCCUAUCAGCUUGUUGGUGGGGUGAUGGCCUACCAAGGCGACGACGGGUAGCCGGCCUGAGAGGGUGACCGGCCACACUGGGACUGAGAUACGGCCCAGACUCCUACGGGAGGCAGCAGUGGGGAAUGUUGCACAAUGGGCGCAAGCCUGAUGCAGCGACGCCGCGUGAGGGAUGACGGCCUUCGGGUUGUAAACCUCUUUCAGCUAUGACGAAGCGCAAGUGACGGUAGUAGCAGAAGAAGGACCGGCCAACUACGUGCCAGCCGCCGCGGUAA